AUUGAACGCUGGCGGCAUGCCUUACACAUGCAAGUCGAACGGUAACGGGCCUUCGGGUGCCGACGAGUGGCGAACGGGUGCGUAAUACAUCGGAACGUGCCCGAUCGUGGGGGAUAACGAGGCGAAAGCUUUGCUAAUACCGCAUACGAUCUACGGAUGAAAGCAGGGGACCGCAAGGCCUUGCGCGGACGGAGCGGCCGAUGGCAGAUUAGGUAGUUGGUGGGAUAAAAGCUUACCAAGCCGACGAUCUGUAGCUGGUCUGAGAGGAUGAUCAGCCACACUGGGACUGAGACACGGCCCAGACUCCUACGGGAGGCAGCAGUGGGGAAUUUUGGACAAUGGGCGCAAGCCUGAUCCAGCCAUGCCGCGUGCAGGAUGAAGGCCUUCGGGUUGUAAAAUGCUUUUGUACGGAACGAAAAGCCUUCUUUUAAUACAGGAGGGUCAUGACGGUACCGUAAGAAUAAGCACCGGCUAACUACGUG
This 482-nucleotide ribosomal RNA is filed under the name uncultured bacterium. Its description in RNAcentral is "partial 16S ribosomal RNA". It matches the Rfam family "Bacterial small subunit ribosomal RNA", at positions 30 to 507 of the family's 1533-position model. The record is from RNAcentral.